RNAcentral lists this ribosomal RNA (447 nucleotides) under uncultured bacterium. Its description in RNAcentral is "bacterial SSU rRNA". It matches the Rfam family "Bacterial small subunit ribosomal RNA", at positions 330 to 794 of the family's 1533-position model. The record is from RNAcentral.
CCCAGACUCCUACGGGAGGCAGCAGUGGGGGAUAUUGCACAAUGGGGGAAACCCUGAUGCAGCGACGCCGCGUGGGUGAAGAAGCGCCUCGGCGCGUAAAGCCCUGUCAGCAGGGAAGAAAAUGACGGUACCUGAAGAAGAAGCCCCGGCUAACUACGUGCCAGCAGCCGCGGUAAUACGUAGGGGGCAAGCGUUAUCCGGAUUUACUGGGUGUAAAGGGGGCGCAGACGGCGAUGCAAGCCAGGAGUGAAAGCCCGGGGCCCAACCCCGGGACUGCUCUUGGAACUGCGUGGCUGGAGUGUAGGAGGGGCAGGCGGAAUUCCUGGUGUAUCGGUGAAAUGCGUAGAUAUCAGGGGGAACACCGGUGGCGAAGGCGGCCUGCUGGACUGCAACUGACGUUGAGGCCCGAAAGCGUGGGGAGCAAACAGGAUUAGAUACCCCAGUAGG